AUGUUCAACUUUAUGUAUGUAAAAAAGCAGAACAACGCUCCAUAUUUUGUGCUUCUCUCAAAAGCCAAUUGUUCUCCAUCAACUUUUUCUAUUCUAUCAUUAUUCUAUUCAUCAUCAGCAAAAGAAACUUUUAUCUCUCAAUCUCUACCUCCGUUUCAAUCCGAUUUCACGAGCAACAACAAAAACAAACAACCUCUGUCUCUCUCGAUCGCUCUCUUCUAG
Molecule: non-coding RNA, 222 nt
Organism: Vicia faba (fava bean)
Lineage: Eukaryota; Viridiplantae; Streptophyta; Magnoliopsida; Fabales; Fabaceae
Source: the annotation of a GenBank genome assembly